Long non-coding RNA from Myotis lucifugus (little brown bat), 225 nucleotides. RefSeq lists it as uncharacterized. Lineage: Eukaryota; Metazoa; Chordata; Mammalia; Chiroptera; Vespertilionidae. The transcript has 3 exons. The record is from RefSeq and is a predicted model, not a curated record.
UUCGCUUCUUCCGGUCCACAGUCCCGUCCUCUCCCAUUGUGUCUCUCCCUCAGCUGGUAUAGAAGAUAAGCAGCUGAGUAACGAUCCAUGGGUGAGGACUGGGAGUCCAGGAUGGGCUUUGCAUCUGGAGCAGGAGCUGUGGAACGAGGAGGUGACUCAGAAUCAAAAGGAAAUUCGCAUACAGAGACAUGCAUACAGAGAUGGGAGAAAAACCAGGUGAAGACA